Molecule: transfer RNA, 65 nt
Filed under: Pseudoregma panicola
Lineage: Eukaryota; Metazoa; Arthropoda; Insecta; Hemiptera; Hormaphididae
Description: tRNA-Arg
Source: RNAcentral
UAAUAAGAAGUAAACAUUUACAUAUUAAUUUCGACUUAAUAAUAGAUUUAAAAUAUCCUUAUUAA